AUUUUCUAUACGCGUUCCAGACUCUAUCCUGUCAGCUGGGCGGGUCUUGGAGUGCCAGUCAGCCAUCUUGUUUGUUUACCGACUGCGGGUUGCCCUCUCAACCUACUAACGGCCAGACCAUUCUACUUAACAAGACGACUACUUACGGCUCUCAAGUUACUUACGAGUGUGGCCCAAACUUCUGGUUAAGUGGCAGUGAGGUCAGGUCAUGUGGCAGUGACGGGAAGUGGACCGGAAGUGACCCCGAGUGUGUGUUGAUCACUUGCGGGGAGCCUGAAGUGCCUGCUGGAGGAUUCGUCACUGGCUACAGUUUCCAAGUCGGCUCUGAGG
Molecule: long non-coding RNA, 330 nt
Organism: Eriocheir sinensis (Chinese mitten crab)
Lineage: Eukaryota; Metazoa; Arthropoda; Malacostraca; Decapoda; Varunidae
Exons: 4
Source: RefSeq, a predicted model, not a curated record